CAGUCGCCGCGGGAAUACGUAGGUGGCAAGCGUUGUCCGGAAUUAUUGGGCGUAAAGGGCUCGCAGGCGGUUUCUUAAGUCUGAUGUGAAAGCCCCCGGCUCAACCGGGGAGGGUCAUUGGAAACUGGGAAACUUGAGUGCAGAAGAGGAGAGUGGAAUUCCACGCGUAGCGGUGAAAUGCGUAGAGAUGUGGAGGAACACCAGUGGCGAAGGCGACUCUCUGGUCUGUAACUGACGCUGAGGAGCGAAAGCGUGGGGAGCGAACAGGAUUAGAUACCCCCGUAGUCCCUGUCUCUUUACC
This 301-nucleotide ribosomal RNA is filed under the name uncultured bacterium. RNAcentral's name for it is "partial 16S ribosomal RNA". It matches the Rfam family "Bacterial small subunit ribosomal RNA", at positions 509 to 808 of the family's 1533-position model. The record is from RNAcentral.